This is a long non-coding RNA of Papaver somniferum (opium poppy), 5222 nucleotides long. RefSeq lists it as uncharacterized. The record is from RefSeq and is a predicted model, not a curated record. NCBI's taxonomy places the organism in Eukaryota, Viridiplantae, Streptophyta, Magnoliopsida, Ranunculales, Papaveraceae. The transcript is spliced from 10 exons.
UCACAUAAUCUGCAUCUGAAGGUAUCUGGAAGUGUGGUGCUUAACAAUCUUCAAAUUCUGCAGUAGUACAUCUGUAACAUCUCACAGGCCAAAGACACAUAGGUUUGGUGCGCCCAGUAAAAGACCCACCCAAGGAGAGAUAGAUAGAUAGAUAGAUAGAAUAGAUGAAGCUCAUGGAGUGAUCUCAUCUCAUCCCUUCUUAUCCUUAUCUCUUAUUCUCUUUAUUCCCCCAUCUUAUUUCAGAUCUGGUUGUUUCUCUUUUGGUUUUAUCUCACAGGGGUUGCUGCCGGAGAGGAAGGAACUUGGAAGCCAUGAUAUAGCAAACCCCCCCUUAGAUCUAGCUACUUUCAGAUUUUGAAAAAAGGCACUUCACCGAUCAAAAAAAAAUGGCACUUAGUUCACAAUUGGGUGCUGAUGUUAACCAUUAAGCACAUGGUAGACCACCACUCAGUUUUAUCGAAUUGAUAGGUGCACUGCUCAGUUUCGGAAAUUGAGCGGUGCAAUGGCAGGCCACCACUUCGUUCCGCAGAAUGAGUGUGCACUGCUCAGUCCCGGGUACUGAGCGGUGCAAUGGCAGGUCACCGUCAGUUCCUAAAACUGAGAGGUCCAAAGCUAUGUGUCUAAUGGAGAACGUCACACUUAAUGGAACUGAGCAGCUUCCGGACAAAUGAAACUAUUGGAAAACAGGUCUUGCCUUUGCAUUCCUAACUCUAACUCUAUGUUUAUUAACACUUAUGAUCAUGUUUAUUAUGUUUUGCAUAAAAUUGUUUCUAACUUGAUCAUUGGAGUAUCUUUUUUGUUUUUUUUUUGCAGGUCUUGCCUUUGUAUUCCUAACUCUAACUCCAUGUUUAUUAACCCUAACUCUACUUUUAUUACGUUUUGAUAAAAUUGUUUCUAAUUUGAGUGUUGGAGUAUCUUUAUUGUUUAAUGCAGGUCUUGGUUUUGUAUUCCUAACUCUAACUCUACGUUUAUUAUGUUUUGCAUAAAAUUGUUUCUAACUUGAGCCUUGGAGUGUCUUUAUUGUUUUUUUGCAGGUCUUGGCUUUGUAUUCCUAACUCUAACUCUAUAUUUAUUACGUUUUGCAUAAAAUUGUUUCUAACUUGAGUGUUGGAGUAUCUUUAUUGUUUAAUGCAGGUUUUGGUUUUGUAUUCCUAACUCUAACUCUACGUUUAUUAUGUUUUGCAUAAAAUUGUUUCUAACUUGAGUGUUGGAGUAUCUUUAUUGUUUUUUGCAGGUCUUGGCUUUGUAUUCCUAACUCUAACUCUAUGUUUAUUAUGUUUUGCAUAAAAUUGUUUCUAACUUGAGCCUUGGAGUAUCUUUAUUGUUUUUUGCAGGUCUUGGCUUUGUAUUCCUAACUCUAACUCUAUGUUUAUUAACCCUUAACUCUACGUUUAUUAUGUUUUGCAUAAAACUGUUUCUAACUUGAGCGUCGGAGUAUCUUCCUUGUUUUUUUGCAGGUCUUGCCUUUGUAUUCCUGUGGCCAAUUCAAUUAGUAGAGUUGUUGAAAUGGAAUGCUGGUACCUUGCGGGGAACGUCAUCUGUUUGGCUUUUGAUCAGUUUGCCUCUAGGGUAUGUCUGACUUUAAAGGAUACAAAUGAAGACAGAUCAGUCCUGUGAAUCAUGUACUAAUGAGAUCCUCCUCUUCCCUGAAGGAGGCUGCAUUUUAACUCAAAAGGUGUUAUAACCUGCUUUUGUAAUAUCUUCCUCUGGAAUGACCUGCUUUUGUAAUCCUUCUCCUCCCCGGGUAUAUAAUGCACAUUUUAUUCUCCUUGGCUCACAAAGAGUAGUGAAGGUGUCUGGUAGUGGAAUGGGUCUGAACUAUUUGGUUUAUUGAUCGCCAGUCGGGGGUUCCUGGUGAAUUUUUUGAAUUGGAAUUGUUGUUUGUUAUGGUAUAUCCAGUUCUUAGUGCACACAAGUGAUUCCCUGGUGUAAAACAGAGACACCAGUACAUAAAACAGAGUAGAGAAUGCAAUUUGCGCAAAAGUAAUUCGAAGUUUGUUUUUGAAUAAACUGCUGACAACAAUCACCUUCUCAAAAUCCAUCGUCCUUGAAGCAUCAGCAACUAAAGGUUCAUUCUUAGCUAGCUAAUUGAGUUGAGGCAGCUGCUAAGAACUUCUUCGCGCAAUAGCUGACCCCAUUCGAAGUUGCGCUUCACAUAAUCUGCAUCUGAAGGUAUCUGGAAGUGUGGUGCUUAACAAUCUUCAAAUUCUGCAGUAGUACAUCUGUAACAUCUCACAGGCCAAAGACACAUAGGUUUGGUGCGCCCAGUAAAAGACCCACCCAAGGAGAGAUAGAUAGAUAGAAUAGAUGAAGCUCAUGGAAACUCUGAUUAUUUUGAGUCUGAGGGGUUGCUGCUGGAGAGGAAGGAACUUGGAAGCCAUGAUAUAGCAAACCCCCCCUUAGAUCUAGCUACUUUCAGAUUUUGAAAAAAGGCACUUCACCUAUCAAAAAAAAAUGGCACUUAGUUCACAAUUGGGUGCUGAUGUUAACCAUUAAGCACAUGGUAGACCACCACUCAGUUUUAUCGAAUUAAUAGGUGCACUGCUCAGUUUCAGAAACUGAACGGUGCAACGGCAGGCCACCAUUUCGUUCCGUAGAAUGAGUGUGCACUGCUCAGUCCCGGGUACUGAGCGGUGCAAUGGCAGGUCACCGUCAGUUCCUAAAACUGAGAGGUGCAAAGCUAUGUGUCUAAUGGAGAACGUCACACUUAAUGGAAGUGAGCAGCUUCCGGACAAAUGAAACUAUUGGAAAACAGGUAAAUGAGCUUCUCUUUUCCUCCUUUUUUUUGUUUUUGUUUUUUUUAUUUGUCGUUUUUCUUUCGUAUUUUAUUGAAAUCACUGUUGGAAGUCUGGUACACAGCAAGGCAGUGAUACUCCCCAUGUAGUUCAGCUACAGCUGCUGAAACAUAGCUAAGUCUGAUUCUUGGGUAACGUUUCAACGUAAAUAGCCAUGUUUAGCUUUUGUUAUAUUGCUGACUUUGGUACUCUGCUAGUAUAUUUAGGUGCACAUUCUUAACACUCUCAAUGUAUACUUAAAUUGCCCUUAUAUUUGUAGAAUCCCUGAGUUUCUUUUUUGCUUGGUACAUGUCUAUCAUUUUUGUUCAAGGUUUCUGCCCCUUCUUCUGAUGAGUGUCAGGUCGGUACAUUUUUGCCUUAACAAAGAUAUUUGUUACUAACUUGUGUGUUGCUUUUGUUUUUUGCAGGUCUUGCCUUUGCAUUCCUAACUCUAACUCUAUGUUUAUUAACACUUACAAUCAUGUUUAUUAUGUUUUGCAUAAAAUUGUUUCUAACUUGAUCAUUGGAGUAUCUGUUUUUUUUUUGCAGGUCUCGCCUUUGUAUUCCUAACUCUAACUCCAUGUUUAUUAACCCUAACUCUACUUUUAUUAUGUUUUGCAUAAAAUUGUUUCUACCUUGAGCGUUGGAGUAUCUUUAUAGAUUUUUGCAGGUCUUGGCUUUGUACUCCUAACUCUUAACUCUACGUUUAUUAUGUUUUGCAUAAAAUUGUUUCUAACAUGAGCCUUGGAGUAUCUUUAUUGUUUUUUGCAGGUCUUGGCUUUGUAUUCCUAACUCUAACUCUAUAUUUAUUAUGUUUUGCAUAAAAUUGUUUCUAACUUUAGUGUUGGAUUAUCUUUAUUGUUUUUUUUUGCAGGUCUUGGCUUUGUAUUCCUAACUCUAACUCUAUAUUUAUUACGUUUUGCAUAAAAAUGUUUCUAACUUGAGUGUUAGAGUAUCUUUAUUGUUUAAUGCAGGUCUUGGUUUUGUAUUCCUAACUCUAAGUCUAACUUUAAUGCAGGUCUUGGUUUUGUUUCUAACUUGAGUGUUGGAGUAUCUUUAUUGUUUUUUGCAGGUCUUGGUUUUGUAUUCCUAACUCUAACUCUACGUUUAUUAUGUUUUGCAUAAAAUUGUUUCUAACUUGAGUGUUGGAGUAUCUUUGUUGUUUUUUGCAGGUCUUGGCUUUGUAUUCCUAACUCUAACUCUACGUUUAUUAUGUUUUGCAUGAAAUUGUUUCUGACUUGAGCCUUGGAGUAUCUUUGUUGUUUUUUGCAGGUCUUGGCUUUGUAUUCCUAAUUCUAACUCUAUGUUAAUUAACCCUUAACUCUAUGUUUAUUAUGUUUAUCUUUGUUGUUUUUUGCAGGUCUUGGCUUUGUAUUCCUAAUUCUAACUCUAUGUUAAUUAACCCUUAACUCUAGUUUAUUAUGUUUUGCAUAAAAUUGUUUCUAACUUGAGCGUCGGAGUAUCUUCCUUGUUUUUUUGCAGGUCUUGCCUUUGUAUUCUUAUGGCCAAUUCAAUUAGUAGAGUUGUUGAAACGGAAUGCUGGUGCCUCGCGGGGAACGUCAUCUGUUUGGCCUUUGAUCAGUUUGCCUCUAGUGCAUGUCUGACUUCAAAGGAUUCAAAUGAAGACAGAUCAGUCCUGUGAAUCAUGUACUAAUGAGAUCCUCAUCUUCCCUGAAGGAGGCUUCAUUUUAACUCCAAAGGUCUUGUCUGCUUAUUGGGUGGCCACUCGUUAGGGAGAACUUGUAAUGUGGAAUGCUGGUGCCUGGUAGAGAUUGCCUGGCAUUUGACCAGUCUGUUGUCAAGGCUUUUUAUGCAAAAGACGUGCCAGGAGAUUUAGCAGGAUGUGAAAAGUGCAAUGAUGCGGUGAGACUUGAUAAGCCUGGUGGUCCAUUGAGAGAUGAAAAUGAACAAUUGGUGGUUCCAGAGGUUCUUUGCCUUGCGUAGUUUUUCCUGAUGAAGCUCCGAGCAACAUUGUGCAACGAGUCUGAAGGCAAUGUCAAAGAGAUGCAAACCUAUUGGUAAAAUUGAGGAGGAUAUAUCCGCCACGAAUUCUGUUGUGGUUCACUCGAAGCUUACAUCAUGCCUUUCUGCUGCAAUCUCCUUGACUCCAUCAUCAAUAGUGAAUGAGAAAAAGAUGGAAUAGUGGUUGUAAAUUCUGAAUGAGGAUGAUGUUGUGUGGGGGACAAUGGGUAGUGCCCGAAGAUAUGGUCCAAAAAAUUGAUGUUGAGGGGCUUCUCAUGUGCAGGAGAAGGCAGGCUGGUUUUUAAGAAUAUGGACCGUUUUUGUAGAAGUUUUAGGAUGUUUUUGAACAAUGCUAAGUUUAUUAUUAUGUAGUUAUUGUCAUUCUUUCUUUCUUGUAAAGAUGUGAUGUGAUGCGAAUAUAUGCAAGUUUUUUUUUUAAGCAGUAAUGUUAAACAUUUUGAUUGGAAUUCAACACGGAGAAUUGAU